Dreissena polymorpha is the source of this 575-nucleotide long non-coding RNA. RefSeq lists it as uncharacterized. The record is from RefSeq and is a predicted model, not a curated record. NCBI's taxonomy places the organism in Eukaryota, Metazoa, Mollusca, Bivalvia, Myida, Dreissenidae. The transcript has 3 exons.
AUUUUCCCGUGCUUGACAACGCAGCAGACGCCUUUUCAGUUUCAGUGUGUUUUAUCUAAAAUUGUGAUUGUAUUUGCGCUGAAAAAAGAUUGAAGGCUGGUGCAUCAUGGGGCGACAUAACCCUUUAAGAAUUCUGGCUCUUUCACCAUUGAGCUCGUCACUGGUCUCCCCUGGGUCAGCACAGUACACACAACACGCUCAGCCAAGAACUCGGCCAAAAACAACAACAACGAAUGUGAACUGGAAAUGGUCGAUGAGACUUGUUCCAGCAGCGCCCAAUCUGACAACAGCUCAAUGUGCAGCCAGGGUAUUGUGUCCUUGGCGCCAAGCACUACCAGUCUGUAGAGACUGAACUUUAGACAUGCCAAACAAACACUUUCACUUUUAGUCCAUGUUUUAUUUUUAGAAUAUUUUUGGUGAUUUCUGGCAAAAAUCUUUUUUUCCGCGUAAGCUGUAUUAAGCAAGCUUUUCACCUUAGCCUGACCUUUGUUAGCGUCCAAUAGAAUUCAAAUAAAACUUCCCGCGGCCACGUACAGAUGAAUACACUUCAUUGACUGCAUUGGCUGAUUUGAGAA